GAUGAACGCUGGCGGCGUGCCUAAUACAUGCAAGUCGAGCGAACAGACGAGGAGCCUGCUCCUCUGACGUUAGCGGCGGACGGGUGAGUAACACGUGGAUAACCUACCUAUAAGACUGGGAUAACUUCGGGAAACCGGAGCUAAUACCGGAUAAUAUAUUGAACCGCAUGGUUCAAUAGUGAAAGACGGUUUUGCUGUCACUUAUAGAUGGAUCCGCGCCGCAUUAGCUAGUUGGUAAGGUAACGGCUUACCACGGCGACGAUGCGUAGCCGACCUGAGAGGGUGAUCGGCCACACUGGAACUGAGACACGGUCCAGACUCCUACGGGAGGCAGCAGUAGGGAAUCUUCCGCAAUGGGCGAAAGCCUGACGGAGCAACGCCGCGUGAGUGAUGAAGGUCUUCGGAGCGUAAAACUCUGUUAUUAGGGAAGAACAAAUGUGUAAGUAACUAUGCACGUCGUGACGGUACCUAAUCAGAAAGCCACGGCUAACUACGUG
This 497-nucleotide ribosomal RNA is filed under the name uncultured bacterium. RNAcentral's name for it is "partial 16S ribosomal RNA". It matches the Rfam family "Bacterial small subunit ribosomal RNA", at positions 28 to 507 of the family's 1533-position model. The record is from RNAcentral.